UCGCAGCCACAUCCGCACACAAAUUCGCAUCUCUAAGAAACUUUAAUUACUAAUAUUAUCAUAUAUAUCAAUAUCAAAACAUUACAUAUUUAUACUUAACUACACGUACUAAACCAUCUUAGCAUUUUUCAACACCCUUCUGAUUUAGAAGGGAACGAAAAACUAGAAUAAAAAUGGAAACUACACAUUCUCUUCAUCGUCAUGGCUUCAUCGUUUUGCUUCUUCUUUUAUCCGUUUCUUAUGUGUCUUGUUUUUAUACAAGGAAUAUCAUCAACGGUUCUUAUCGUUUAAAUCCAAGAGAAUAUCGACCGAAUCAACUGCCAAUAUGCAUUGAUCAUCCGGCGCCUAGCGUCGAUCUAUCGCCCAUCUUUUGUGGUGAAGGAUAUGUUAUCUCUGAGAUAAAAUUCGCCGACUAUGGCCAACCCACUGGUGACUGUAAGAAUAACACGCUUAAACGUGGAAACUGCGGCGCACCCGCUACUUUGAGGCUCGUCAAAAAGGUUUAACUAAACGUAUAUAUAUGAAUUAUCUGUUUGAAAUGAGUACUAAUACAUCAUAUCUUAUUAUUGUUAUCUAUUGUUAUUACUUACGCAGAAUUGACUUGGAAAAGAAGAAUGUUGGUUUCCAGUGACAG
Molecule: long non-coding RNA, 634 nt
Organism: Arabidopsis thaliana (thale cress)
Lineage: Eukaryota; Viridiplantae; Streptophyta; Magnoliopsida; Brassicales; Brassicaceae
Product: other RNA
Exons: 1
Source: RefSeq